GGUAGUCGAUCGGGUCAAGUGAUGGGGCUUCCCCCUUUGCCGUCUGUGCGAGACACGUCCGGGUGAUUCCUCGGCCUAUGUCUAGGCCGGCACGCCUAGGGCUGAGCUACGGCCGGAUACAAAAACGCUCCGCUGUCGAACGCCGGUUAAGAUAUCGUUGUUAGGGCAAGUACAAUGGUAUAGCCAGCUGCUCGCUAUAAGCCAUUGUCAUGUCAUCUAUAGCACAUCUUAUAGUCAACA
Molecule: long non-coding RNA, 240 nt
Filed under: Hordeum vulgare
Lineage: Eukaryota; Viridiplantae; Streptophyta; Magnoliopsida; Poales; Poaceae
Description: long non-coding RNA (HVUL_LNC018510)
Source: RNAcentral